Molecule: transfer RNA, 73 nt
Filed under: Cuniculiplasma divulgatum
Lineage: Archaea; Methanobacteriati; Thermoplasmatota; Thermoplasmata; Thermoplasmatales; Cuniculiplasmataceae
Also listed under: 4 other names
Description: tRNA-Tyr
Rfam family: tRNA
About the family: Transfer RNA (tRNA) molecules are approximately 80 nucleotides in length.
Source: RNAcentral
CCCGACUUAGCUCAGCUGGUAGAGCGGCGGACUGUAGAUCCGCAGGUCUCUGGUUCAAAUCCGGAAGUCGGGA